Molecule: long non-coding RNA, 312 nt
Filed under: Androctonus crassicauda
Lineage: Eukaryota; Metazoa; Arthropoda; Arachnida; Scorpiones; Buthidae
Source: RNAcentral
CUUGGAAAUUGAAAAAAGGAAGUCCUACUCCAGUAUUAUAAAUGACAACCCACCCAUGGAGUUACCCGAAUCCUGGAAAUGGUGCGCGGUCCAUAACUUAUAACAAGACUCUGUGCGCAGUACUUGGUAUGCAUAUUGGGUCUAAGGACGUUGUUAUACUCGCGCCAGACCUGCCAUAUCCUAUGUCUUCCAAGAAUAACGUGGCACCUUGUACCAUAUAUUUAAUUCGUCUUUGUCAUUGCUGUGGUGUGUAUUAUUCAUAACAUUUGCUCUGUUCAAUUAUGUAUAUUUGUCUUUACGGUAUGCUUUCUC